CAGUGGUCCAGUGGUAUAUGCCCUGGUUCAAAAUGCAGAAGGAGGUGGUUCAAUUCACGCU
Molecule: transfer RNA, 61 nt
Filed under: Eutreptiella gymnastica
Lineage: Eukaryota; Euglenozoa; Euglenophyceae; Eutreptiales; Eutreptiaceae
Source: RNAcentral